Non-coding RNA from Misgurnus anguillicaudatus (oriental weatherfish), 2704 nucleotides. NCBI's taxonomy places the organism in Eukaryota, Metazoa, Chordata, Actinopteri, Cypriniformes, Cobitidae. The record is from RefSeq and is a predicted model, not a curated record.
CUCUAAAAAAAAAAAGGUUCCUUGAGGUUCUAUAUAGAACCGUGGGGUUCUAUACUUGGCCAAUAGAACCUUUUACCAAAAAACGGGUUCCAUAUAGAACCCUUGGAAGGCAAAGAACCAUUUUUAUUAAAAUGGUUCUAUAAUUCACGUUUUGUGACUGAAGUGUAAACUAAAGAUUACACAAUAAUUGCAGACCUACACAACUCAUUUACAAACCUACACAACUCAUUCACAAACCUUUUUGUGUCAAUAGGUUGUGGUCAAAUAAAGAGAGAGUCAACAAAUAGGCUACUAAUAUUUAGUGUACACUGUAAAAAAUCCAACUAAUGAAAUGUUGGACGGGCAAAAAUAUAUAAGUUAAACCAAUUUUUUGUUUGAGCUAGUUGAGAAGAUCUGUGUUUAAAAUAUUAAAUGAAUGGUUAUUUUCAAAUCCAGUCAAAAUUCAGAAUGGCUAGUGUUGACUGAACUAAUUAAGACAAAUCAGGUAAGUAUGUGGACUUAUGACAGCUAUGUUUCCUGACAACAAAAUGCUCAUAAUAUUACUGUUAUUUGGUCACAAAAUGUAAUUGUAAGAGUUGUUCAGGCGUGAAUGUAUGUGCUUAAAGUUUAAAUAUGCGGUCGGUUAAUAAAGAUAGCGUCUAUUUAAAAAUGUGCUCGGACACUUUCGGACGUAGAUGAGCUCCAUAUGAGCUCCAGAAAAUCACAGACACUUAAACGCUCACACCCCGCCCAGCGCAGCCUCUCCUCGGCAAGCCCAUCAGACUGCUGGCUCUGAUAUCUCUGUGGCGUUUAAACAUGUGAUUUAAUUCAUUUUGAUUUCUCAUACUUAACAAUGAAAGGGUUAUUAUGUUUUAAAUCAUAUUUUAGGAUUGCACUUAAUUGAUAUUGCUGUUGAGUGAUGUUUCAUAUCUUUUACAUUUGUUAUAACCGGACUGCAUGCGAAUUUGAACUUCAGAGCUGAGGAAGCGGGUGGAGAAAUAGUCCCAAUAUCAUAACAAUCUUAAAUAAAACUUCUAAAUAUGCCCGUGUGUGUACCCGUGUGCGCGCGCGUGCGCGCGACCCGCUCACGCGCGCGUGUGUAUGUACAGUAUGUGCGUGAGUUUUUAAUUUAAAAUGUCUUAACUUAACUCGGAAGGAUCUGAAUGACAGGUCAUUUCAUCUGAGAUCAUUCCGCAUGUAACAGCCGGAAUCACUCACUGUUUCCCACAACGACACGAGUCAUCAGCCGUUUCCUCAAGGUCACGUCAGAGGGGUGGUGAUGUGGAGAGGCAGACUAGACCACCACGAUACGCGAAGAUGAGCCUCGAGGCUUGACAGUUAUUUUUUCAAACUGAGGAGUUCGGACUCCGGACCGUCAUUUCUGCUUGUUUGUACCCUGAGGUAAGUAAACUUUCUACAUUUUUGAAACGAUAUUACUGAAAUAUUUAGUAUAAUUAGUUAAUAUUUAUUUUGUUAGAGUAGGUCUUGUGCUAAAUAGUGAUACUAGAAGCUACAUUUAUAAUAUUUACCUCAGUUAAAAAAUACUGCUGGUAACGUUAAAGCACUGACGGGCUUCGUCAACCGUCAGUUAUAAAAGCUCAUUUGUUCCUGGUUUUAAUGAAUUACGUUACAGUCCUGCUUUAUUUCUUUGUCAUUUUCAAUUAAAUUGCCAAGCACAAUAAGACAGCUGUGUUGUAAGGAGACGAAAUUCGAGACAGGGGUGUUAUUUCAAUGAAGCGCGUGGUCAAAGGAACCGGGUGGAAGACGGUGGAAGGGAAAUUAUAUGUAAAUGUUUGUCGCAGUUUUACACAUAUUCCGUGAGUAUUUUUCGCUUGUUCACGAGUGUUUUAUCAGGGUUGGAGCUAAACCUUGAAGGAAAGUGGAAACUGCUGGCCACAGUUAAGAACUUUCUGCUGGUCUGUAUUAUAAAUGCACGACUGCAGUGCAGCGUUUGUAUCCGCAAGUCUAGAUAUGCAUGUUUUCUGUGAUGCACACAAUUAAUUAAUGUGAUGGUAGCUGUUAAGACACUUACAUUUAACAUUCAAAUGUUUUAAAAACCAAACGUGUUCAGGUUUUUAUGUGUAUUUGGUUUGUGAAGUGUAAUUUUUUUUCCUCUCCCUCACAGAUAACCAUGGUUAAUAAAUGGUCAGACACGUCACUGGCUUUAAAAUAUAAACCCCAUUGAUCCAAAAAGGUAAGGUGCUUAAAAGGACCUUGUAAGACUUCGUCACUAAUGUUCAUUAAAGAGAAAAUAAAAAGAAAUCUGUGUUUUGUAGCUUUAAUGAUAAUUCUUACUGUAUGUAUUUCAUUUAGAAUUUAGCAUUAAAGACUGUAAAGUGUUUGAGGAUUUAAUUUAAAUUCUGUAUAUUUCACACUAUUUUUUUAUUGAACAUUGUGUUUUGAAAAAUACAUCACUAGUCAAUUGCAACCUCAAGUUAAUGUAGACUUUAAGGAACUUGUUUGUCUGAAAGUGGAUAUAUAAAGAUUUUUUGUUUUAAGAUGCUGCAUGGAAUGACAAUGUGGUUUGGAACAGACUUGGUGAAGAACAUGGAAACAUCUCUUAAUAAAAUGGCCCCAAACAUCAUCAGGAGUGCAAAAGAAGGAAGUAAAAACAUCUCUACGCCAAUCUCAUUGGAGAGGAAACCACAGAAGGAACCCAAAGGUCCCACACCAACCAUAGUGUUCAACGGCUCUCCUGAUCUUUUCAAAUCUGAAAGUAUCAACU